UACAUAUAUUUACUCAGGCCCCUAUACUCUAAGGCUGGGGAUCUGGCUGAGCAAACAGGGCAGAGUUAUGUCCUUUCUGACAGCAUUUGCAGUCCAUUACCAAGGGUGUUGUAGUAGUCAGACCACCAGCAAGGGAAGGAGAAGCAAAGCUGCUUAUGUCUUUUCAGCCUUUUGAUUGUACAAAAACUUCGACAGCAUUGCUGUAAAAAAAUAUCACAAAUAUGGUGGAUUUGCGGCACUUUUUCAUAUUUGAAUACUUCACUGAUUUGAUUAAAACAGAGAAACUUUGAACCACAGUGAAGAACAUUUAAUAUUUUCAUAAUAUGGCCAUUGUGCAUCUGACUUUGGGAUGCACUCCAGACCACAUUCCAUUUGGUUUGCUAGCCCUAAAUCCACAGCAAGUGUCCAAAAUAUCAAAGCUAUGGGUGUUAUUAUGAAAGCAGACCUGGUUCACCAGAUUUUAGGGAAGGCUGUAGUUACAUCAUUCUCCUUGUUGGUGGACUUGCACUUCCACCAGUUCCUGCCAAACAGUUGCAUUAGGUCCAAAGAUUUACAUGGACAUGUCUGAGGAAAUAAGAUCUUAGCAACUCCCACAAAACAGGAUUCUAAAAUAAGAAUUCUGACAUUUUGAAGACAUUUAUCUGUGUUUUAGACUGAUCCAUUCUUCAGAAGAAGAUUUGCAUUUGAGCAAUCCAGGCUGAAGAAUCAAUGGAUUUGUAGUCUUUAUGUGCAGAGAUGUAUAAAGUGUUACUGAAUGCCGCACUUUGAUACACAGUUGCAUUAAAAAUACAAAUUACCAAGAAACAGAUUUCACACAUUCCAAGGAAAAAACAUCUUCUGCUGUUCUUUUGUAGGCACAGUGUUUGUAGAGUAUAAUUUACAUAGUUCUAAAUGAAGGAAAAUCUAUCCAUUGCAGAGGUAGAAGCUGCCUUUGCGUCCUAUAGUAUGAGUUUAAAGAUCCUAAUGCUCUACAAUAUCCAUAGCAUAUCAUCGAACUGACCGUGUAAAGAUGCGUAGGAGAUUAAUUGGCCACCCACUUCUUCAAACUUCACAUUGCUGAUAAUUAAGCACGUGGAAGGAACAGCAAAGUUUAAUGACCUUACUGGUGUAAACUGUCCGCAAUUAUCUGAUCUAGCCACACAUUAGCCUCUUCUGCAAGGACCAGAUACGUGAGUUUCCUUUCUGCUCCAAGAAGGAAAGACAGGAGUUUCAGACCACCCAUUGAGCUGUCUCCCUGUGAUGUUUAGGGCUGUUUCCCCAUUUGAUGAUAAAACCAUAAGGUAUUUGUGUUCCACUGUGAGGACAUGUGGCACUAUUUUAGAAAAUGCUUGCGUAACUUUGACCACUGAAAUAUACAGAGUUAAAAAUAGGCCAGCAUUCCAGAAAUGCCUUAUUCCUCCACAUCCACAAUGGUUUUAUCAUGUAAAAUUCAGAGAAAUUCUGGUAAGGAAAUUAAUCUCUAGAUUUCAUAUAACUACAGAAGGAACAGGGAUUGCUUGGGAGGCAGGAGACAUUUGGGGAUACAGAUUUAGGUCAACAGAUACUGCACCUCCUUACACAAAUAUAAUGUUUUAAAUAUUCAUCUCAUAUGGAUAAACUUAAAAUCCAGGGGUAGUCAUCUAA
Molecule: long non-coding RNA, 1623 nt
Organism: Zonotrichia leucophrys gambelii
Lineage: Eukaryota; Metazoa; Chordata; Aves; Passeriformes; Passerellidae
Exons: 3
Source: RefSeq, a predicted model, not a curated record